This 469-nucleotide ribosomal RNA is filed under the name uncultured bacterium. Its description in RNAcentral is "bacterial SSU rRNA". It matches the Rfam family "Bacterial small subunit ribosomal RNA", at positions 28 to 491 of the family's 1533-position model. The record is from RNAcentral.
GAUGAACGCUAGCGGCAGGCUUAACACAUGCAAGUCGAGGGGCAGCGUGGAGCAGCAAUGCUCUGACGGCGACCGGCGGAAGGGUGCGUAACACGUGAGCGACUUGCCCGUCACAGGGGGAUAACCGGCGGAAACGGCGACUAAUACCCCAUACGAUGUGAUGCUGCAUGGCAUUGCAUUGAAAGAUUCAUCGGUGGCGGAUAGGCUCGCGGGACAUUAGCUAGACGGCGGGGCAACGGCCCACCGUGGCGACGAUGUCUAGGGGUUCUGAGAGGAAGGCCCCCCANACUGGGACUGAGACACGGCCCAGACUCCUACGGGAGGCAGCAGUGAGGAAUAUUGGUCAAUGGGCGGAAGCCUGAACCAGCCAUGCCGCGUGAAGGACUAAGGCCCUACGGGUCGUAAACUUCUUUAGACGCAGAGCAAUAAGGUCCACGCGUGGACCGAUGAGAGUAUGCGUAGAAUAAGC